AACCGUAAAAGGUUCGAGCCGAGCGAAGCGAGACAGCAACGCGGCAGCGUUGACCCGAAGGGCGAGUCCACAGGACGAGUAAUCCCGCACGACCCACCA
RNAcentral lists this small RNA (99 nucleotides) under Yersinia enterocolitica. RNAcentral describes it as "partial RtT sRNA". It matches the Rfam family "RtT RNA", at positions 30 to 130 of the family's 130-position model. Rfam says of the family: This family represents a bacterial cis-regulatory element known as RtT RNA. The exact function of RtT is unknown although it is thought that it may be involved in changing the cellular response in relation to amino acid starvation. Lineage: Bacteria; Pseudomonadati; Pseudomonadota; Gammaproteobacteria; Enterobacterales; Yersiniaceae. The record is from RNAcentral.